CGUUCCCGGACCUUGUACACACCGCCCGUCAAGCCAUGGAAGUUGGGAGGACCUGAAGACAGUUGCUGUAAGGCGCUGUUUAGGGUUAAACCGAUGACUGGUGCU
Molecule: ribosomal RNA, 105 nt
Filed under: uncultured bacterium
Lineage: Bacteria
Description: partial 16S ribosomal RNA
Rfam family: Bacterial small subunit ribosomal RNA
Source: RNAcentral